This is a non-coding RNA of Chrysemys picta bellii (western painted turtle), 2014 nucleotides long. The record is from RefSeq and is a predicted model, not a curated record. NCBI's taxonomy places the organism in Eukaryota, Metazoa, Chordata, Testudines, Emydidae.
CUGACCUUUUCACUUGAUCUCCUUCGUUUCCAUAAAGCAAAGUCACAAGAUAUAAAACAAGAAGUUUUCACAUUCUACAACAGACUACAAGGAUGCUGACUUAAUUGGGCAAGUUACAACCACCUACACCAUCUUCCAGAAAAAAUCUAAGCCAGGCGCUGAGUGAGAAAGUAAUGAAGAAGAGCAACGCUCAUAUCUAGGAUGAAAAAACCAGCUCAUGACAAGAGAAACUGAGCUCCCCCUCUCUAUGAAGGCUCUACUGGGAAUCAAGCACACACAGAAAUGGAUGCAAUGAACUUAAAUGGAGUUGGGAGUGGAGCUGAGAGAGAUUUGUACAAGAAGAUCUAUAAGUAGGCUAGAUUUCUUGCUUUCAUGCUUCAUCACAAACCUGAAACAAAGGCAAGGUUCGCCAAGGUGCACCAACCUGAACUGAAUGAAGCAGAGUUGAGCUCUUAAUGACCCUGGGCCAAUCUACGGAAAUUGUACAAAGCUAGGUGGGGUGUGCAUGCAUGAAACCAUCCAAAAAUCAACAGCUUGGGAUAUGUUUGAGUUUUUAAGGUCAUCUGAAUCCCAAAUCAAAAAUUCACAUAAAGCAAAACUGAGAAAUGAUUUCCAGGCAGCCCUGAAAAAUCAAAAUCUUUGUAGUGUUUGCCAGCAGUAAUCUGAAAGCAGAUAGAUCUCUAGCUCUCAUACCUGCCUCCUCACCCCCUCCCCCCCCACACACAUACAUUUCAAAUUCACUUGCACAGUAUCCAUACGCAAUACACAACAUGUAAGUAACAUCACUGACAAUCUGUGGAGCUGCAGUAGGUUGUCCUCAUAAAUUAGAUACACAGCUUUGCUGUGCUCUUAAUGCCCAAACACUCACUCUCCUAAAAGUAAUUUGUAGCAUCAAUAAUAAUAUGCAUAACUGGGAAUUACAAAUAUGUGGGGAGGCCGUUGUGGAAGCAGAGAAAGAACUGUCAUGCAUUGCAUCCCCUUCCUGUCAGUUUUUUCUCUGCUUCCACACCAUAGACCAUCUAUUGGAAUCCCAUGCUAGAGAGACUUCUGGAGAGAAGUAGAGCCCUGAUACACUCACCCUAAUAACCAAAGCAAAAUUUUAUUUCACUUUGGCAGACACGUACAGGAUUUAAUAUAGAAUCUAUCUGUGGUGUGAGCUUGCUUGCUCACGUGUGCUUGGUUCUUCCGUUACAUGUGGCAGCGAAUUCUUCAGUGGAGUGCUAUGGGGUACUGCUAUUUUGUUUAUAGCAUCAUUGCUUUGGACAUAGUACAAUUUAUGGCACAGGCCACAGUUCAUCAGAGCAUUUAUGCACUUAAAAUGUUCCUUCCAGUUCAGCAAAGCACAUGCUUAAUUUUAAGCAUGUACAUUGCUGAGUAGGGAUAGGCUGUUGAAUCGGGGUCACAGAAGGUGUAAGACAGCUGCAUGCUCCUCCUCCCGCAUCUUGGCACACAUUCACUUUAAGCCAAAUUUCACUAUCACCAGAACUGGAACCCACAAGGAUUUGCAGUCUCAGCUUCACUAUGGUGAAAUGCACUAGAAUCAGAUUCUCUGGUGUAUAAAUGAUGGGUUAUGUCCACAGAGUUCUGUAUACCUAAGUUUAUUUCUACAUACUCAUUGGCUAUCAUAAUAUUUACGCCUGUGCUGAAAUGAUGAUAUUUUUGUGAAGUAAUGUUUAUGCUUUCCAUAUUUGUAAUAUAAAUAAAAUAAAUACAAGGCUUUAAUUUAUUUCUCUUCUGGGGUAUUUUGGACUGGAGAACUGCAGUCCCAGCACUGCAGCUGAGGAAGGAAUGAGGUUCUUCAAUUCAAAACACAGAUGAAAUUCCGCAUUCUACUAAUGACCUGAAAAUUAAAACCAACAUUUAUCCCCCCAAAGCUAGAAGAAUUUUCCCUGCAACAUCUCUCCUAUCUAUGAGAGAUGCUGCAAAUGAAAAGUCCAAGAAUUUAAGAGAUUAGGAGAAACCCGUCAACAAUGUUACAAUGAAAUCCAACCAAAUUUUAUUUGUUCAUUUCCAU